AAAAAGAUAGCACUUUGCACAGUCUUUUCACAUUAAGACUGAUUACAAAAGUCACCUGAAAAAGUAAGACAAAUUGAAGCUGCUGUUAAAGCUAUUUUAAUUGGUACUAGCUAUCUCUAGGAAAAGAGUAAGAAGAAAGGGCCUGGGAUGAGCAGAAUACUAUGCUCUAGGCUCAGUUCACAUACAGAAAACAUGUAUGGAUCACAGCUGCCCUAAUAACAGAGGAAGUCAUUCAGAAAAACAAGUGGCCAACAGGGGAAAGUUGUGGUUCCCUAAACAGAAGACUCCAUUCUGGAAAAACAGCCUUUACUCCAAGGAAUGCAGUCAUCUUCACUAGAGGCUUACCUCAUUGGAGUUGUUAUAGAAAAACUCAUCAUCCUCAUCACCAGAAUUCUCUCAAGGGGACCUGAUUCCUGUCUUAUCAUUUAUUUAAAAUCCAGAUCUUCUCUACUGAAGAUGCUUGUGACCUGGUUCCUAAGAACUGAGCCCAUGAGCAUCAUGCACUUAUGG
This 510-nucleotide long non-coding RNA is filed under the name Anas platyrhynchos platyrhynchos (common mallard). RNAcentral's name for it is "lncRNA (ENSAPLG00000023968.1)". The record is from RNAcentral. Lineage: Eukaryota; Metazoa; Chordata; Aves; Anseriformes; Anatidae.